CACAUGCAAGUCUCAGCACCCCAGUGAAAAUGCCCACAAACCCCAAACAGACCUCUGGAGCAGGUAUCAGGCCCAAACCUGCUUUUAGCCUAAGACACCUUGCUAUGCCACACCCCCACGGGCACUCAGCAGUGAUUAACAUUAACAAUAAGCGAAAGCUUGACUUAGCCAUGAUUAAUAAAAGUUGGUAAAUUUCGUGCCAGCCACCGCGGUUAUACGAAAAACUUAAUACAAUGACCAUCGGCGUAAAGCGUGACUAGAGCAAUUAAUCAAAACCUUUAAAGACGAACCACUAUAAAGCCGUAAAACGCUACUAUAAGUGAGAACCCCACUAAUCUCU
RNAcentral lists this ribosomal RNA (340 nucleotides) under Chalcides ocellatus. RNAcentral describes it as "partial 12S ribosomal RNA". Lineage: Eukaryota; Metazoa; Chordata; Lepidosauria; Squamata; Scincidae. The record is from RNAcentral.